This is a non-coding RNA of Podarcis lilfordi (Lilford's wall lizard), 4134 nucleotides long. NCBI's taxonomy places the organism in Eukaryota, Metazoa, Chordata, Lepidosauria, Squamata, Lacertidae. The record is from the annotation of a GenBank genome assembly.
GGCAAACUGGGCAGUUGCUGGGGUGUGUGUGGCAAAUUUGGGGAGGUGGCAUUUGUAUCACCAUCAGCCAUAUACAUCGUACACCACCUGUGACAUAUGGGCUAGGAUGAGCAGGCAUGACCCUGGAUUGGGCAGGAAGGAAAAGGUCUGAGAGGUCUGUUUCUAGGGUUCAAAGGGAAACAGUGGUGGGGGUGGGGAAUCCACUCGGAUCAGACCUGGAAACUGCCAGAUAAAAGAGCAAGUUGCUGCCUUUCCCUGCCGAUCUUUCCUACUGGCUGGAAGUGCUUUGUAGGGCAGCUGGUGAGAUCUGCAACUGCCAGGGAAGAAGCUGGGGGCUGGGGUGGGCAGUGUUGGUGGCUUCAGGAUCAAGGUGAGAUCAAAGCAAGGGCCCCCUCUCAGCGUAGUAAAAGGGGACACCAUCCUGGCAGGGGCUGGCCCCAGUGAUCACACCCAUCCUUCUGGCUACCACUCCAAAAUGGUACCCCCUUCCCUAACAUUGCUAGUUGUUGUGCAAGGGCACUCCUGGGGAGGUCUCACCCCCUCUGUGCUUUGGCACACACAUGCUUGACUCUACUGAAUACAAACCUACUUCACCCUUCCUUUCCUUGUGUAGAAGUUACUGCUGAAGCGGAGGCAAAGGAAGAACAGAGUACAAAAGAGCCCAUGGUGGAAGCUCAGUGAUGUCAGAAGUGUCAUCUUCUAUUCUGCCUUUCAACAGCAUCCAGACACAGCCUGCUCCCACCCUUACAUUGUGUGCUGGCCAAAGCUCUCUAUUAGAUGCUUGGGGGAGGUCGGGGAAACAGAAAUGGAGAAUGACAUGAGAGGGCCUGGUUUGGUACAAGGAGGUAAAUGAGGUGGAAGCAGCCGUCAAGAGAGACUUGGGCCCCAUCUGCACUAUACAUUCAAAGCAGCACCAUACCACUUUCAACAGUCAUGGAUUCCCCUAAAGAAUCCUGGGAACUGAGAGUUGUCAGGGUGCUGAGAGUUGUCAGGACACCCGGAGGACUUCCGGGUUGGCGCCAUCGGUAAUGGCGGUUUCCCUCUGAGUUUCUGAGGGACCAGCUCCGCGGGAUCGGGUCUGACCGCUGCGGCGAAGCGGGGACCCUUCAAAAAUCACAGGCGGGUGAAGCCUGUGAACGUGGGGACUCGGCGGGCACCUUUUGCGCCCCCCCAAACUGCGAAGGGACCCUUUUACGGGCUCCGGAGCGAGACGGGGUGAGCGGCGCGGUGCUGAGAGUCGACUGCUUCUUCCGCGGAGUGAAGCCGCACAGCCGUUAUUGGAGAGUGCUGACUUUUUCCUGGGACAAUUUGACUUCGAAAGUAACUACCCGUGAGUAGGAUAAAAUUGGAUUUAAAGGGAAAAAUAACUUAAUUCGGCACCGAAGCGGGAAGGCAUAAACAGGAAGUCCGCCUUCCGUUCUUGUAAACAGAUCAAAGCAAAGAGACUGUAAGCGGAAACUUUGAAAGACGUUUGAAAAAAGACUUAAAUCCUAACAUCAGAAAAGCGAUCUCCCCUCCGGAUUGCAGAAAAGGAGGGGGGAAAGGUUUGAACUGUAUUUAUCUGCAAAAAAAAAAGAGGGAAGGGAAGCUAAAACCCACUGCUUAGAACCUGGGAACGGACUGCCCUGAGAUAAGGAAUGCCGCUCUGUGAAAAGCACUAUCGGUAAAUAGAGUACUUUUGACAGCUAACUCUGCAAGAGAGAUACAGUGUUUCUGGACUUCUCCUGGCUUUAAAGUAACAGAUUAAGUGCAAUUGAAACUGUUGGGUUUUUUUUGUGAACUGGGGGAUUUAUAAGGACUACUUCUUUUUAAAGUUGCAAGCUUUGACUGUUACUGUGUCCCCCUAGAGGAGGUUUGAUAUUGCUACAAUAACAACUGGGCUAGGGGAAUUUUCCAUUUCAAAACAAACUCUAGCCGUGGGAUUGACCUUGGAUUUCUAUGAGAGUGUUAUGGCAGAUGGAAGAGGAAAGUUAGAGUUGACUCAGGAAAAAACUACUAGGUCUGGCAGACCCUAUCGGACAGAUACUGCGUCGCAGCGAAGAGCUUCAACAUCUGGUCCUUCUGGACCAUCUGGAUUAUCAGGGGCUGCACCCCCACAAGUUAAACCAAAAGUAAUGUUGUCUGAAGACGUUUUGGCUUUAGCACUAGGAAAAAUUAAUGAAUCUUUGGAAAAUUUAACUAAACAAGUAGCUGAAACAAAUAAACAAGUAGCUGAAACAAAUAAACAAGUAGCUGAAGCAUCAGUUAAAAUUGACCAAAAUACUACAAGUAUCAAUAAUUUGGGACAGAAGGUGAACACCAAUACAGAGACUAUUGAGAAAUUGUUACAGGAAUCUGCUUUGACUCGAAAGACAGCCGAAGAAGCAAAAGACAUAGCAACUGCUACUCAAGAGAAGAUACCACCGAUAUAUAGGCAACUCGAGGACCACGGUUUGACGUUGUCUAUGAUUGAAUUGAAGGAGAAACAAAGAAAUUUGAGAAUCAGGGCUGUACCAGAACUUGAGAAAGAUAACUUGACUGACUUUCUUACGCAGGAGUUUGCAGACUUCUGGCAACAGGAUUUGGGGAAGGAAGAAUUUAAGAUAGUGAGCGCAUUUAGACUUGGAAGAGGAGGAAGGAAGAACAAGGUGAGAGACUGUUUGAUUACCCUUCGAACAAAAGAGGAGAGAGACAAAAUCUUGAAUCUGCACUUCCGAAAGACUUUGGAAAUACAUGAGUCAAGUGUGGAGAUAAUUAAGGACAUUCUAAAACAUCUCUUGGAUUUAAGAUCUAACUACGGAGAUUUGGUCGCCCUGUUGAGAAGCAACAGAAUCAUCUUUAGGUGGGAAUUUCCCCAAGGCCUGUCCUUUAAAUAUAAAGGAAGAAAGAUAAAAAUAAGAUCAGUCGAUGACAAGGAUCGAGUUUUGAAAGACCACGGAGAAGACUUACAGAAAGAAGUGGAAUCUGGAGAAGAGCCAAGAGCACUGGAAAGAGGAAUAUUAGAUAUAGCAAAUUUAUCUUUUGGAUUGCAUGGUUCAGAGAAAGUGACAUCACCGACAGAACAAGAACAAACACUUGGUGCAGUUGGAGGUAAAGUAAAGUAAUCACAUCAUGGCUCUGCAACUAUUAAGUUGGAAUUGUAAUGGCCUCAACUCUCCUCGGAAAAGGAAAAGUGUUUUUCAUUUGUUAAAAAAGGAACAAUUGGACUUGAUUUGCUUACAGGAAACACACGUGAUAAGGCUACAUAGGAAAGUAUUGAUUAACAAGAAAUUGGGACAGGAGUUUAUUUCAUCUGACAAAGUUAAAAAAGAGGAGUAGUGAUUUAUGCAAAGGAGAGACUAUCACCGAAAUUCAUUUUUAAAGAUGAUCAAGGAAGAUUUGUGGCAAUUGAAAUUCAAGUUCAAGGAGAGAAAUUUUUGAUAGUAGGAAUUUAUGCACCGAAUGAGGGGAAAUCUGAAUUCUUCAAAAAGUUGCAUGAGACCUUAAUGGACUAUUUGGAUUACAAUCUGAUCUUGAUGGGAGAUAUGAAUGGAGUAGUAUCUACAAAUAUGGAUAAGGCACAAAGACAGGUAGUCACAAAGGAUGGUAGACUACCGAAAACAUUUUUUGAGAUGACAGACAACCUGGAUUUAGUUGAUACUUGGAGAACAAAGAAUCCCUUGGGAAGAGAGGGAACUUUCUUCUCUGAAGCCAAGAUGACAUGGACUAGAAUUGACCAAAUAUGGGUAACUAGAGGAAUGGCACCAAAGAUAAAGAAAGUGGAAAUUUGUCCAAAAACCUGCUCCGACCACAAUGCUGUAAGGAUGGAGAUGAAACUAAUAUCAACUGGCUCCUUCAGAUGGAGGAUGAAUGACACCUUAUUCAGAGAUGAACAAGUGUAUAAAAAGGCCCAAAAAACUUUGAGAGGCUAUUUUGAGAUAAACAUGAACACUAAGGUUGAAAAAAGAGUAAUCUGGGACGCAAGCAAAGCGGUUAUGAGAGGGUUCCUGAUACAACAGAAUGCAAUAAAGAAGAGAAGCCAAAAUGAGAAGAAAGAUAAAAUUUUGGAGAAAAUAAAAGAAAGUGAGAAGAAAUUGAGAGCAAAACCAAAGUCGCAGGAGAUUUUGAGAGAAAUAAAGCUAUAUCAAGUACAAUAUAUGGAAAUGAUGAAUCAGG